This 30-nucleotide non-coding RNA is filed under the name Mus musculus (house mouse). The record is from RNAcentral. Lineage: Eukaryota; Metazoa; Chordata; Mammalia; Rodentia; Muridae.
GUGGCUGAAAAGGGUUCAUAUGGCUUAAGC